Molecule: ribosomal RNA, 550 nt
Filed under: Algyroides fitzingeri
Lineage: Eukaryota; Metazoa; Chordata; Lepidosauria; Squamata; Lacertidae
Description: partial 16S ribosomal RNA
Rfam family: Bacterial large subunit ribosomal RNA
Source: RNAcentral
UCAAAAACAUAGCCUUUAGCUUUACAAGUAUUAAAGGUACCGCCUGCCCAGUGACUCUUUUAACGGCCGCGGUAUCCUAACCGUGCAAAGGUAGCAUAAUCACUUGUCCCCUAAAUAGGGACUAGAAUGAAUGGCUAAAUGAGGACUAAACUGUCUCUUGCAGGCUGGCCAAUGAAAUUGAUUUUCCAGUACAAAAGCUGGAAUAAAAACAUAAGACGAGAAGACCCUGUGGAGCUUCAAAACCGAACUCAUUAAACAUGUUUCUUCGGAUUUUUAGUUGGGGCGACUUCGGAGAACAAAAAAACCUCCAAAACAUGACCUACCCACUUUGUCAAGAUCAACAUACCAAAACAACUACAUGAGACCCAGCAACUACCCUAAUGUUAUCUGACCAAUGAACCAAGUUACCCCAGGGAUAACAGCGCCAUCCCCUUCUAGAGUCCCUAUCGACAAGGGGGUUUACGACCUCGAUGUUGGAUCAGGACAUCCCAAUGGUGCAGCCGCCAUUAAAGGUUCGUUUGUUCAACGAUUAAAGUCCUACGUGAUCUGA